Molecule: transfer RNA, 80 nt
Filed under: Puccinia sorghi
Lineage: Eukaryota; Fungi; Basidiomycota; Pucciniomycetes; Pucciniales; Pucciniaceae
Description: tRNA-Glu
Rfam family: tRNA
About the family: Transfer RNA (tRNA) molecules are approximately 80 nucleotides in length.
Source: RNAcentral
UCCGAAUUAGUAUAUCGGCUAGUAUGACCGCCUCUCAUGUUGGGCCGCGGUAGAGACGGGUUCGAUUCCCGUAUUCGGAA